This 453-nucleotide ribosomal RNA is filed under the name uncultured bacterium. Its description in RNAcentral is "bacterial SSU rRNA". It matches the Rfam family "Bacterial small subunit ribosomal RNA", at positions 8 to 462 of the family's 1533-position model. The record is from RNAcentral.
AGAGUUUGAUCAUGGCUCAGAGUGAACGCUGGCGGCGUGCUUAACACAUGCAAGUCGAACGGUAGCAGAUUCUUCGGAAUGCUGACGAGUGGCGAACGGGUGAGUAAUGUAUAGUUAAUUUGCCUCUUGGAGAGGGAUAGCCACUGGAAACGGUGAUUAAUACCUCAUACUCCUUAUAUAGUAAAUAUGUAAGGGAAAUGCUUUUGUGCCAAGAGAUAAGACUAUAUGGUAUCAGGUAGUUGGUGGGGUAAGAGCCUACCAAGCCAAUGACGCCUAGCUGGUCUGAGAGGAUGAUCAGCCACACUGGAACUGAGACACGGUCCAGACUCCUACGGGAGGCAGCAGUGGGGAAUAUUGCACAAUGGAGGAAACUCUGAUGCAGCAACGCCGCGUGGAGGAUGACGCAUUUCGGUGUGUAAACUCCUUUUAUAUAGGAAGAUAANGACGGACUAA